AAUGCGCCUUAAUCUUCAGCCCUCUUUUUUCUUUUUCAUGAAAUAAUUACCCCAAUAGUAAGGAUGAGGAAUUGUAACAAAUUCCUACCUAGUGAUUGAAUUUUGAUCAUUAUUUGUUUUUAGAACUGUGGUGAAUCAGAAUGUACCAUGUAUGGGAACACUGAAUAAAGAACUACAAGUGCUUUGUCGUCCAGAUAGUCUGUGAUGUGUCAAGACGCGGAGUGGGACCCAAGUGCAGUGAUGAGAAACUUACAGGAAACAAGGAGUGGAGCAAGGUACAAUAUUUCAUCAUUAACUGUCACGUUCAGCACUCUGUGCUCUCUUAUUCUGUCUGUUCCGCCUGCUUUUAUUUUGUUCACCCCCUGUAGUUUCCUUUUCCUUUGUCCCAUCCUGCUUAAUGGCAGCGCAGCCGUCAUCAACUCCUGUGGUGUGUGUCACCUGGCGAGCUCCAGGCUACUGGCUGCUAGAUGGUCACUUCGUGUCAUUCGGUAAAUCUCCCAAGACUGAUCUUCCUCCUUGUUGUUCUGAAUUUUUCUAGAUUCCUGCGUGCGCUUGAAUUUCUCUUCAGCCGCUUCCUGAGUUUCGCUUUCUCCUCUUGCUCCGCUUCUGUUUUCAUCUCCUCAAUUCUUCCAGACUGCGUGUGAGUGUUCUAAAACUCACUUUUCAUUUAUCGAUUGUUGUGUAGAUUUUUCCCUUCGUGUGAGUUUGAGUCUUCUCCACGUCGCGCUCUUAGUUGCUUGGACCUCGUGAGUUUAUAUCCGAGCGUGUUUGAGUUCUCCCUGUUUUUGAAGGUUGAAUCUAAUUCACCUCUCUUUUGUUGCAGAUUUUUCCCCAGUCCCUCUGUGUAUUUCCCGGUUCGUGUUUUGACUCCGGCGCCUUCAGUUCCUGUCUUCGUUGUCUGUGUUUAUUGUAACUUGUCCAUUAAAUGUAUUAAUUUAAUAUCGUUGUCCGUGCCUUCUGUCAACCUGCCAUCAUCUGCACCUGGGUCACUUCUUAGGCAAACAUGACAGAACCAUCUAGUCAAAUUUUUGACCCAGCAGUGGUUGUGGGUUUGCACAAGGCUUUAGGCAUUCAGGGCCCGACUCUUGAGAGAGUAAUGCAGAGCGUCCUGGAGCAGCUGCAGAGCAGCUCUUCCGUCGUUGACCGUCUACCUGCACUUCUGUUGAACCUGGCGUCUCCACACCAGCUUCAACAGCGGGCUCUGCAGCUGAACCAGCACACCUGAAGCUGGCUGGAACAAGCCUGCUCUCAUGUCUGCUUUCUGUCAUGGCUUGGCUAGUGUCAUCCAGGACCAACUCUCCCUCCUCUUGAGGAACUCAUUUUACUUUCUGUCCGUACAGACAACAGUAUGAAACGGUCCACUCCACAUAUGGUGUUUCCAGUCCCGCUCUAACCACCAGAACCUCGACUGUAUGUCCGUGAACCUGCUGUUCUUCCCGUUCCUCAGCUUCCAGGAGAUCUCCCUGAACCCAUGCAGGUGGGGAGGACGAGACUAACACCAAAUAUGUGACUGAUGACGGCCCUUGCAUCACUAGGAACGAGUGGCUGAGGUUCUCUGAGCAGAAGGAUUUCAGCAACAUCACUUGAAGUCCGUUGUAUGCACAGUCCAAUGGAAAAGCUGAGAAAGACUGAAUCAUGGAUCGACAUCCUCACAUUCCAUAUGUUGCGGUGAUGUUUCAUCUUGUUUACACUGUGGAGAGGAGGACGAGGCCCCUUAAACAGGAAGUGAG
Molecule: long non-coding RNA, 1730 nt
Organism: Synchiropus splendidus (mandarinfish)
Lineage: Eukaryota; Metazoa; Chordata; Actinopteri; Syngnathiformes; Callionymidae
Exons: 3
Source: RefSeq, a predicted model, not a curated record